This 254-nucleotide ribosomal RNA is filed under the name uncultured bacterium. Its description in RNAcentral is "partial 16S ribosomal RNA". It matches the Rfam family "Bacterial small subunit ribosomal RNA", at positions 524 to 776 of the family's 1533-position model. The record is from RNAcentral.
UACGGGGGGGGUAAGCGUUGUUCGGAAUUACUGGGCGUAAAGCGCGCGCAGGCGGCCUUUUAAGUCUGCUGGUGAAAUGCCGGGGCUCAACCCCGUGCCCGCCACAGAUACUGGGAGGCUGGAGACAUGUAGAGGCAAGCGGAAUUCCGGGUGUAGCGGUGGAAUGCGUAGAGAUCCGGAAGAACACCGGAGGCGAAGGCGGCUUGCUGGGCAUGGUCUGACGCUGAGGCGCGAAAGCGUGGGGAGCGAACAGG